Sinocyclocheilus grahami is the source of this 260-nucleotide long non-coding RNA. RefSeq lists it as uncharacterized. The record is from RefSeq and is a predicted model, not a curated record. The transcript is spliced from 5 exons. Lineage: Eukaryota; Metazoa; Chordata; Actinopteri; Cypriniformes; Cyprinidae.
CAAAGAGGCCAUUGGAAAGGCAUAUCAAAGGAUCACACUAUACAUCUGUACCCUUGAGGAUUUGUUGUCAAAGAGUCAAGAAGAUGACUCAGUUUCAGAAGAUGAUAAUGAAGUGGUUGUUAGGGCGCAACCCAAUAUGUCACCUCUUUCUGACACAGUGCUUUGGUCAAGUCCCGAAAGCAGUACACCAGAGCAUAGACAUCGGUCAGCCACAACAUCCCAGUCAUCUAAUGGGCAAGCCAAGAGUGCAACAAGACCCA